AGCCGGGCUGGCCGGGCUGGUCCUGCGGCGGCGGUGGAGUCUCCGUAGCUCACGCUGCCGGUGGUGGCUCCCGCGGCUCCCGGCGGCGCCGUUCCCUGCCCGCGCGACUCUGCGACGCACUGCUCCGGCGGCUCCCGCCGCGGCGAAGCUCCGGGGCCGCGCGGUUUCCCGCGGUGGCGCGGCUCAUGUCCCCGGGCGCGGGGCGCGCAGGUGGGCCGGCCGCCGCUGGGAGAUAGGCCCCCGGGGGCGGCCGCGGUGGACUAUGGCACGGAGACCCGGGGCGCCGGCCCCCUACGGGGAGGAGUUCUCCUUCGUCAGCCCGCUGGUGAAAUACCUGCUCUUCUUCUUCAACAUGCUUUUCUGGGUGAUUUCCAUGGUGAUGGUAGGUGUGGGUGUCUAUGCCAGGCUGAUGAAACACGCAGAAGCAGCCUUGGCUUACCUGGAGGUAGACCCUGCCAUCCUGCUGAUUGUGGUGGGUGUCCUCAUGUUCCUGCUCACCUUCUGUGGCUGUAUUGGAUCCCUCCGUGAAAAUAUCUGCCUCCUGCAGACGUUCUCCUUCUGCCUCACCAUUGUGUUCCUGCUACAGCUGGCUGCUGGGGUGCUGGGCUUCGUCUUCUCAGACAAGGCUCGGGGGAAAGUGAAUGAGAUCAUCAACAAUGCCAUUGUGCACUACCGAGAUGACUUGGAUCUGCAGAACCUCAUUGAUUUUGGCCAGAAGAAGUUCAGCUGCUGUGGAGGGAUUUCCUACAAGGAUUGGUCCCAGAAUAUGUAUUUCAACUGCUCAGAUGACAACCCUAGCCGUGAGCGAUGCUCUGUGCCUUACUCCUGUUGUUUGCCUACCCCCAACCAGGCGGUGAUCAACACUAUGUGUGGCCAAGGUAUGCAGGAUUUUGACUACUUGGAAGCUAGUAAAGUCAUCUACACCAAUGGCUGUAUUGACAAGUUGGUCAACUGGAUACACAGCAACCUAUUCUUACUUGGUGGUGUGGCACUGGGCCUAGCCAUUCCUCAGCUGGUGGGAAUUCUGCUGUCCCAGAUCCUCGUGAAUCAGAUCAAAGACCAAAUCAAGCUACAGCUCUACAAUCAGCAGCAUCGGGCAGACCCGUGGUACUGAGAAUCCAUCCUGCACCUCCUCACCAUAGCGACAGGCAAUCCAAUGGAGAUUUGGAUUCCAGCCCCCCACCAUUGGUGACCCAGCAGGAGGAAGCAAACUCCAGAUGGGCAGAAGGCAGGGCACAAAGGUGGCUCAGGUCUCAGAAGGAUGUAUCUCCUCUCCUCUUUCCUAGUCCUCAUAUCAUUAUUUUGUAUUGUUUCUAACCUUAAACAUUUGGGUUUAAGUUUUGGGAAACAGAAGUUGCACAGAGAGUUGUGGGGGGUACUAGCUGCUGCCUUUUCACUGAGGUACUACAACUGACAGCUUUGUUAGGGCUGCUGCUGAGCUUGGUGGACAUACUUAGAUGCUGCUGCCAGAGAGACCUGGCUGCAGAGAGCAGACACCAGCAGCCCUGCCUGGAGUCCAGUUGGCAUGAUACCAGCUCCAGAAGGGAAAGGAGUGGAGCAGGCAGUGGGGAGAGAGCUUGGGGGUCGGUUGGGGACAGCUGUGUGUGUUUGGUAGGAGUGGAGAGGGGAUAUGUUUACCAAAUGCCUGCCCUGCCAUCCUCCCAGGUAGUCAGAAUGAGCUACAUCCUGCCCUCCCUCAUUUCCGUGGAAACAUGGCAGCAAGGUUACCACCCAAAACUUAGGCUGCGGUAGAGAACCUCUCCGCUGGACCAAGGAGGGAGAUGAGAGGAAGAAGCCCAUCCUUCUGCCUGGUCGAGGCCCGCAGGCCGGCUUCUCCAUCUUCAUCUGAAGUUGCUUGGGAACCGCAGCCCACCCUGGCGUAGGAAGGACUGAGAACACUUUGAACUGUGCAGGGCUUUCUCCGGCUGGGAGCAGCGUGCGGGGCGGGGCGGCGCCUCCGGGGGCGGGGCACGCGGCUCCGUGGGUGGUCCCCGCCCAGCGGCGGCCGGGCACGCGGGAGGGGGUUGGGGCUGUGGGGGCGGGCUAGGCGGAGAGUGUCCCCCAGUGUCCCCCGAAGUCCCCUCGCCGACCCCUGCUGUUGGGGUCCAGACUAAGGACUUGGCCUGACCGGGAAAGCCUGGAAAGGCUCCUGCGGUGCUGGCAGAGGAGUCGCGAGCUCGCCCCCGCCCUGCGAGCCUUCUGCUCCUGGAGGGCGCCUUUCCAGCAGCCGCCUGGGGCCGGGCCAAUGUUUAGCUCCUAGCUAGUAACAGAACGGAAAGAAAAAAUAAAGUCAUCACGAAUAUAAAA
Molecule: RNA transcript, 2307 nt
Organism: Marmota flaviventris (yellow-bellied marmot)
Lineage: Eukaryota; Metazoa; Chordata; Mammalia; Rodentia; Sciuridae
Gene: Tspan33
Gene name: tetraspanin 33
Source: RefSeq, a predicted model, not a curated record